RNAcentral lists this ribosomal RNA (503 nucleotides) under uncultured bacterium. RNAcentral describes it as "bacterial SSU rRNA". It matches the Rfam family "Bacterial small subunit ribosomal RNA", at positions 15 to 507 of the family's 1533-position model. The record is from RNAcentral.
GAUCAUGGCUCAGGAUGAACGCUAGCUACAGGCUUAACACAUGCAAGUCGAGGGGCAGCGGGAUUGAAGCUUGCUUCAAUUGCCGGCGACCGGCGCACGGGUGAGUAACGCGUAUCCAACCUUCCGUACACUCAGGGAUAGCCUUUCGAAAGAAAGAUUAAUACCUGAUGGUAUCUUAAGCACACAUGUAAUUAAGAUUAAAGAUUUAUCGGUGUACGAUGGGGAUGCGUUCCAUUAGGUAGUAGGCGGGGUAACGGCCCACCUAGCCAACGAUGGAUAGGGGUUCUGAGAGGAAGGUCCCCCACAUUGGAACUGAGACACGGUCCAAACUCCUACGGGAGGCAGCAGUGAGGAAUAUUGGUCAAUGGACGAGAGUCUGAACCAGCCAAGUAGCGUGAAGGAUGAAGGUCCUACGGAUUGUAAACUUCUUUUAUAAGGGAAUAAACCCUCCCACGUGUGGGAGCUUGUAUGUACCUUAUGAAUAAGCAUCGGCUAACUCCGUG